This 263-nucleotide ribosomal RNA is filed under the name uncultured bacterium. RNAcentral describes it as "partial 16S ribosomal RNA". It matches the Rfam family "Bacterial small subunit ribosomal RNA", at positions 524 to 786 of the family's 1533-position model. The record is from RNAcentral.
UACGUAGGGGGCAAGCGUUAUCCGGAUUUACUGGGUGUAAAGGGAGCGUAGGUGGCAUGAUAAGUCAGAUGUGAAAGCCCGGGGCUCAACCCCGGGACUGCAUUUGAAACUAUCAGGCUGGAGUGCAGGAGAGGCAAGUGGAAUUCCUAGUGUAGCGGUGAAAUGCGUAGAUAUUAGGAGGAACACCAGUGGCGAAGGCGGCUUGCUGGACUGUAACUGACACUGAGGCUCGAAAGCGUGGGGAGCAAACAGGAUUAGAUACC